GCAUUAAUGGGGUAGUGGUAACCUGGGUCGUUGCCAUUCAUAGAGAUUUGUCUCGACCCGCCGGGAGUUCGAUUCUCUCUUAAUGCA
Molecule: non-coding RNA, 87 nt
Organism: Gymnopilus junonius
Lineage: Eukaryota; Fungi; Basidiomycota; Agaricomycetes; Agaricales; Galerinaceae
Source: the annotation of a GenBank genome assembly